AUGCCGCGUGAGUGAAGAAGGCCUUCGGGUUGUAAAGCUCUUUUGUUCGGGAAGAAAACGUGUGGUUUAAUACCCGGUGGGGAUGACGGUACCGUGCGAAUAAGCACCGGCUAACUACGUGCCAGCAGCCGCGGUAAUACGUAGGGUGCAAGCGUUAAUCGGAAUUACUGGGCGUAAAGCGUGCGCAGGCGGUUUGUUAAGACAGAUGUGAAAUCCCCGGGCUCAACCUGGGAACUGCAUUUGAGACUGCUGGGCUAGAGUGCGGCAGAGGGGGGUGGAAUUCCUGGUGUAGCAGUGAAAUGCGUAGAUAUGGGGAGGAACACCGAUGGCGAAGGCAGCCCCCUGGGCCUGUACUGACGCUCAUGCACGAAAGCGUGGGGAGCAAACAGGAUUAGAUACCCUGGUAGUCCACGCCCUAAACGAUGUCA
Molecule: ribosomal RNA, 428 nt
Filed under: uncultured bacterium
Lineage: Bacteria
Description: bacterial SSU rRNA
Rfam family: Bacterial small subunit ribosomal RNA
Source: RNAcentral